Molecule: transfer RNA, 88 nt
Filed under: Sorangium sp.
Lineage: Bacteria; Pseudomonadati; Myxococcota; Polyangiales; Polyangiaceae
Description: tRNA-Ser
Rfam family: tRNA
About the family: Transfer RNA (tRNA) molecules are approximately 80 nucleotides in length. Their secondary structure includes four short double-helical elements and three loops (D, anti-codon, and T loops).
Source: RNAcentral
GGAGAGGUGACCGAGUGGCCGAAGGUGCACGAUUGGAAAUCGUGUGUAGUGCAAGCUACCGCGGGUUCGAAUCCCGCUCUCUCCGCCA